RNAcentral lists this ribosomal RNA (200 nucleotides) under Klebsiella pneumoniae. Its description in RNAcentral is "partial 23S ribosomal RNA". It matches the Rfam family "Bacterial large subunit ribosomal RNA", at positions 1165 to 1364 of the family's 2925-position model. Lineage: Bacteria; Pseudomonadati; Pseudomonadota; Gammaproteobacteria; Enterobacterales; Enterobacteriaceae. The record is from RNAcentral.
GGAAGAUGUAACGGGGCUAAACCAUGCACCGAAGCUGCGGCAGCGACACUAUGUGUUGUUGGGUAGGGGAGCGUUCUGUAAGCCUGCGAAGGUGACCUGUGAGGGUUGCUGGAGGUAUCAGAAGUGCGAAUGCUGACAUAAGUAACGAUAAAGCGGGUGAAAAGCCCGCUCGCCGGAAGACCAAGGGUUCCUGUCCAACG